GUAGAAUUACUGUUGGGAAGUAACUAUGGCAUUAAGGUCUUCCAAGAAGCAGAUGCCAAGAUGGGCUCAAAUGUGCAAGAUAUUUAUGGAAAACCACCUAUGAAGGACAAAGGAACAGAGAACAAGAGCCUUCCCCCAUGUCUAAUACCUGUGAAAGGAGAGAGAGAAGGAAGAAUUUAGUAGGAAGAGCCUGAGGUUGCUGCUUAGUUCUGAGAAAGCCUCAGCGAGGCCGAUGGAGAGCCCUUGAGCUGAGGUUGCCCAUUAGACAAAUUCUGCAUCAGAUGAGGGAAGGAAUCAUAAUUGGCUAACAAGAGGAGAUACAUUUGACUAUGUUAAGAGAACUGGAGGACCUCCACCAAGAUCUUGUGAUUGACAUCAUGUCUGGAUGCAGCUGCUUAUAAUCCACAGCCUCUGAAUAUAAAGACAGGUUAUGUCCCCGAAACACAAAAGAUACAAUGAUGAAGAGGAAUAAAACGACUACAACAAACACUUCCACUCAAAAAAGGGACAUAACAGAAGGGCCUUCAGAUAAGGUUCAAAUUGUCCAACAUGGUCUACAAAGCUCUCUACUGUUCCAGGAGCACUCAAGGGGGAAGGACAGGAAAUCCAGGUGCUGAUCAGAAACCCACAAAUAUCUGCCAGGCUGGCAACAGACCCUAAAGAGAGAGAUUAACAAAAAACAGUUGAGGAGCAAGCUAAAUUCCUACAGGCAAUAGUGGGACCAGAGCUCAUAGGCUGGCACCAAUAGUACAGUUUGGUCCCAAGGAGAAGCAGCAAGGCCAUGCAGGGAAUCACAUAAACAGAUCAGAAACUGAAGUUUGGCUUGCUGACGUGACUUGCUCAAGGUCACAUAGCUACGAAUUGUAGACCUAGAACUAAAAACAUCCUGGCUCCUUGUCUAGUUUUUAUUGCUCUAUCCCAGGUUGUCUAGCUUAACUAACUCUUGCUUCAUGGAGCUUGUAGGAAAGGAUGCCCUGCAAAUGCAGGACGUAAGCAUCUGGGGAAUAUAUCCAAUCAUUCUUGCA
RNAcentral lists this long non-coding RNA (1025 nucleotides) under Homo sapiens (human). RNAcentral's name for it is "HSALNT0297830". The record is from RNAcentral. Lineage: Eukaryota; Metazoa; Chordata; Mammalia; Primates; Hominidae.